AUUUCACUGUCACGACUAAUGACAAAUCUAUAAAUUAUAGAGCUCUCAUUAGUCGCGCGAAACAUGAGAUAUAAUCUUUUACUUUUUCGAACCCUGUAUUAUAUCAGAGCCCUAAUUUUUCACAACGAAAAAGAGGCCUAAGCCUCUUUUC
This 151-nucleotide small RNA is filed under the name Gilliamella apicola. Its description in RNAcentral is "SraG RNA". It matches the Rfam family "SraG RNA". Rfam says of the family: This RNA was discovered in E. coli during a large scale screen. Evidence was found for specific cleavage of this RNA. Lineage: Bacteria; Pseudomonadati; Pseudomonadota; Gammaproteobacteria; Orbales; Orbaceae. The record is from RNAcentral.